This 487-nucleotide ribosomal RNA is filed under the name uncultured bacterium. RNAcentral describes it as "partial 16S ribosomal RNA". It matches the Rfam family "Bacterial small subunit ribosomal RNA", at positions 28 to 507 of the family's 1533-position model. The record is from RNAcentral.
GAUGAACGCUAGCGAUAGGCUUAACACAUGCAAGUCGAGGGGCAGCACAAGGUAGCUUGCUAUCUGGGUGGCGACCGGCGCACGGGUGCGUAACGCGUAUGCAACUUGCCCUAUACAGGAGGAUAACCCGUCGAAAGACGGACUAAUACUGCGUAUGCUCACAACUUGGCAUCAAGUGGUGAGGAAAGAAAUUCGGUAUAGGAUAGGCAUGCGUUCCAUUAGCUUGUUGGUGAGGUAACGGCUCACCAAGGCAACGAUGGGUAGGGGAACUGAGAGGUUUAUCCCCCACACUGGUACUGAGAAACGGACCAGACUCCUACGGGAGGCAGCAGUGAGGAAGAUUGGUCAAUGGGCGCGAGCCUGAACCAGCCAAGUCGCGUGAAGGAUGACUGUCUUAUGGAUUGUAAACUUCUUUUAUACGGGAAUAACAAGAGUAACGUGUGACUACCUGCAUGUACCGUAUGAAUAAGCAUCGGCUAACUCCGUG